This 253-nucleotide ribosomal RNA is filed under the name uncultured bacterium. Its description in RNAcentral is "partial 16S ribosomal RNA". It matches the Rfam family "Bacterial small subunit ribosomal RNA", at positions 524 to 776 of the family's 1533-position model. The record is from RNAcentral.
UACGUAGGAUGCGAGCGUUGUCCGGAAUUAUUGGGCGUAAAGCGAACGUAGGCGGUUUCUUAAGAUUGGUCUUAAAGACCGGGGCUCAACCCCGGGAAUGGAUCGAUAACUGGGAGACUGGAGGACGUCAGAGGAAAGUGGAAUUCCGAGUGUAGCGGUGAAAUGCGUAGAGAUCGGAAAGAACACCAACGGCGAAAGCACUCUGCUGGGCCGACACUGACACUGAGAGACGAAAGCUAGGGGAGCGAAUGGG